UGGGGAACCUUGCGCAAUGGGCGAAAGCCUGACGCAGCAACGCCGCGUGAGUGAAGAAGGCCUUCGGGUUGUAAAGCUCUGUCGCGGGGGACAAAAACCCAUUAGGUUAAUAGCCUAGUGGACUGAUGGUACCCUGAAAGGAAGCACCGGCUAACUUCGUGCCAGCGGCCGCGGUAAUACGAAGGGUGCAAGCGUUACUCGGAAUCAUUGGGCGUAAAGGGCAGGUAGGUGGUUACGUAUGUCUGAGGUGAAAUCCCCGAGCUUAACUUGGGAAGUGCCUUGGAAACGGCGUAACUAGAGUAUCGGAGAGAGGCGUAGAAUUCCCGGUGUAGCGGUGAAAUGCGUAGAGAUCGGGAGGAAUACCAGAGGCGAAGGCGGCGACUUGGACGAUUACUGACACUCAACUGCGAAAGCAUGGGGAGCAAACAGG
RNAcentral lists this ribosomal RNA (430 nucleotides) under uncultured bacterium. RNAcentral describes it as "bacterial SSU rRNA". It matches the Rfam family "Bacterial small subunit ribosomal RNA", at positions 355 to 776 of the family's 1533-position model. The record is from RNAcentral.